AAGACUAUAGACCUGCGGAGUACCUGCGGAAGGAUCAUUAGAGAUUUUGUGCCCUGCGCACUAAAAUUUUCAUCGAUUCUCACACCUGUGCACAACGGCACGCACGCGGCUGCCAGGCCGCGCUGCGCGCACAUCCACAAAAACAUCAUCCUGUUUUGUCGAACGUGAUUGAUUUAUAAAAACACAACUUUCAACAACGGAUCUCU
This 206-nucleotide unclassified non-coding RNA is filed under the name soil metagenome. RNAcentral describes it as "partial contains 5.8S ribosomal RNA, internal transcribed spacer 2, and large subunit ribosomal RNA". The record is from RNAcentral.